This is a long non-coding RNA of Neofelis nebulosa (Clouded leopard), 1050 nucleotides long. RefSeq lists it as uncharacterized. Lineage: Eukaryota; Metazoa; Chordata; Mammalia; Carnivora; Felidae. The record is from RefSeq and is a predicted model, not a curated record. The transcript is spliced from 2 exons.
CUUAGAGGGGACUGAGAAGCAGCAUCUCUGGGAAGGGGGGCUAAGCAGGUUCUUGAAGAAGGGAACGUGGUGGCUGUCGUACUUCGAUGUUCCAGAAAAGCCGAAGGCCUCUGAUCUGCCUGGAACGGAAAGAGACUGGUGAGGUCAGGCUCCACUUUAAUGGGGGCCAAUAAACGCCUCCCUGGAGGCCACAAGGGGCGAGGUGUGUGUUCCCACAGACAAACAGCAUUCCUAAAAAGAGAUUUUUCCGUGCUUCCCUCGCUCCCCUCCACCCUACCACUGCCUCCCCCCCCCCCCCCCCCACCCCAGGCCCAGGGAUCUCACCCAAAGAGCUCAGCCCGGUCUCUCCCAACAUCCAGGACAUUUCCCCACCCUCAACUCUCGUGUUCUGGGAUGUAGCCCGACUCCUUUGUUUCCUUCAACCACGGCCCAAAAUGAGAAGAGCUAGGCAGGAGGGGGGCUGUGGGACAUCGGGCAGCGACAAUUACCCUGCUUAGAAUGGCCCUGACCACAGGCACGUGGAUCAGGCAGGGUCUCAACAGGAAGCAAUUAGGAUAGUUUGAGAAGUAUUUAUGUACAAAGGGCCCAUCAACAGAGAUGUGGGUGUAGGGUAACCACAGGGUUAGCCAAGAAGCAGAAACUGUUAGCACCCGACUUGUUACCACCCUGGACCAAAGGAACAGGAGGAGAUCAUGGUUACCCAAACUGCAAAGGGGGACAGAGGUGAGUAGAGAAGGAGCAGAGGGGCGCCUGGGUGGCUCCGUCGGUUAAGCGUCUGACUUUUCCGCUCAGGUCCUGAUCUCAUGGCUCAUGGGUUCAAGCCCGCCGUGGGCUCCUCCAAGCGCGGUGGCCCUCGCAUUCUUAAGGCAAAGGUUUAGAGGGAGGAGGAAAGAAAAAAGAAUGAAAUCCGAAAUGCUCCAAAGACGAAGGCCGAAUCACGCCCUAGCUAUUUUUCACAUCCUCAGCAGGAAGCGUGCACAGCGAGCCUUACCGUCUUCUUUAUUGCGGCCUUUGUACUGGUAAUAAAAAUACCCAUAGCUGGCACAUGCA